AAUCUUGAAAAAUUUAAAAUAGUUUUUUCUUUCUUCUCUGUAUCUCUCCUCCUUCUCUAUUUCCCCUUCUUCUAGGGCCCUCCCUCUCUUCCCUGGGGAUUUGUGUAUUCCUUCUGCUUUUUGUUUUCCUUUUAUUUGUGUCUUCCAAAAAUCCUCAUCCCUGGGAGAUCUAUUCAGGUGUUCAAACCUAUUCCUAGUGUAAAUUUCAUUUCUUCUAUUCCCAUUUUCUCUCUCUUGCCCUCUCUGUGUAGGGCAAGCAUGUCAAACUCAAAGUCUGGAUCAGGC
Molecule: non-coding RNA, 285 nt
Organism: Pelobates cultripes (western spadefoot toad)
Lineage: Eukaryota; Metazoa; Chordata; Amphibia; Anura; Pelobatidae
Source: the annotation of a GenBank genome assembly